RNAcentral lists this long non-coding RNA (1920 nucleotides) under Homo sapiens (human). RNAcentral describes it as "non-protein coding lnc-ETNK1-3:4". The record is from RNAcentral. Lineage: Eukaryota; Metazoa; Chordata; Mammalia; Primates; Hominidae.
AUUCUGCACUCUGGACUCCUACGGACCAAGAUGAUCAACUCUGAGGAAGAAAGGCAAUGAGGACGUUGCACAAGACAGUCCCUGAUACCCAGAGUUUACUGCCUAAGAGAGGAUACAUCCUUCAAACCAAUAAUCUGCUAAUAGCAAGAUCCAAUAGCUUCAUGGAUAUUGAAAGAAACUGAGAAUCAAAUUUGCAUACUUCUGAGUCACUUGGAAACAAAAAACAAGUACAGUCUUAGAUUCUGAGGGAACAAAAAUUAAAAAUCACAUUAGGAAGAGAAUUCCUAAUGUAGGAACUCAUCCUGGAAGAUUCUUCAGCAAAAGUACAGACAAUAAUAAUAAUACUCCAUGAAGUUACCAUCGAUAUUGAAUGAAUUAAUGAAUGUAAAAACCUCAAAACCCUGCCUGGCCCAGAGCUUUGGAAUGGGUUUGGAUCUACCACUCAACUGCUUUAUGACUUCAGACCAGUUAUUUAAAUUCCCUGAAGCUCAGUUUCCACAUCUUUGAGUUUUUAUUAAUGACCUGCCGACAUCAUACAGUUCAUGAAAUGCUCUGGAUGUGUACAUGCUGAUGAUACGACCUCAGACCCAGCAAGAGCUCAGUGCAGCCCGGAGAGCUGUGAGCAGUGCCACAGGAGGAGAUGACUGGUGAGUGAAAUAAGCAAGAUAGGAGUUGAAGUGUACAUGAAGCAGAGUCCAAGCCUUCUCCUUCUGGAUGUUCAGCUGGAUCAUCCUGACUGCUCCCACUUUCAUCUUGGCUUUCAAAGGCAAGAGGAAAUUAUAAGGAAUAUUCUGAGUGGCUUUCAUCCAGGAGUUCUGUGGGACCCGCAACACCUGGAUGGUAGAUGCAAACAGAUAAAGAAUAUUGGUCACCAAAAGGAGUUCUUUUCAUCAUAGAUCUCUGAAGGUAGACACCUAUUUGCAGACUUCUCAAAGGGCUAUAUGGAUGUGCUCUACUUGUUGGAGGAUUGUCCAUCCACUCUUCUUCCUGUACUUACCAGGACAGAACAGCCGCAACUUCUCAGACAGUUCAUUCUUCUUUUCCUCACCUACUACCAUCUAAGAAAGGUACUUGAUGACUGUGGCUUUAGACAAGAGUCCUUUUCUUACCACAGGGUGGGCAGCACCAGCUCAUUAGAACCAUUUGUGUGACUGACUGAAGACAGCUCACCUUGGAACACUGCAGAAUAUGGCGUAAGUGACAUUUUACAAGUUCCAGAGCCUGGGACUCAAGAUGUCUUGGAGAUUCUGUCUUUGCAGUCUUAUAAUGAUGCCCUGAGAUCAUCAUUAAAGAAAGCCAGUCUGGCCUACUGAGGAUGAGAAGCUACAUAAAGGAGAAUGAAGAUUCCCCAGCCAACAGGCAAUAUCAGUGGUCAGAUAUGUGAAUAAAGCCAUGUUGAACCUCUCGGCUAGACGACCCUCCAGCAUAUGAAACCAGCAGAUGAAUAUCCCAGCCUGCCUGAAGAACUGUACAGGAAAUAAGAAAUCAUUGUUUUUUAAGCCACUGGGUUGGUGGGUGGUUUGUUACAUUGAAAUUGUUAACUAAAACAGAAAUUGGUGCAUAGAGGUCAGGUGCUGUCAUAAUAAAAAUCUAAAACAUAUACUGUUGGCUUUGGUGAUGGGAGUGAUUGGUAGCUAAAGAGGCAGUGAAACAAUGAUUAGUAGAUACUGGGAAGUUAAUAAGGAAAUUUCUAUUGGAGGGUGGAGAAAGGGCCACCCUUGUUAUAUAGUGGCCAAAGAAUCAGCAAAAUGUUGCCUGCUGCAACCUGGAAAGUAGAAACUUUUCUUAAACUCACGGAUCUGGCUGGGAGAUUUCCAGGAUGCAUGCAACAAAUGUGAAUCAACUUUGUAUAGCUGUGUAUAAUAAAGUGUGCUGUAUUUGUCCAUUCUGAUGCUGCUAAUAAAGACAUACCUGAGACUG